ACCAAAGGGCUAGUUACAUGUCACCACAAGAAUAAAACAAACCCUCCUUCCCCUUUGCCAUCCUUGGAAUAGGCUAUGCUGUUACUUUAGAAAUGUUUCAAUGUGUCUAUAGAGCUAUUUUAGCAUUCUCUUAGUUAUACCAAUCAACACUUCAAAACAAGAGAAACUUGGACAUAUGUUCUUCCUGAUCAUGCCUCACAUUGAACUAAAACAGUCUUAACACAUUAAAAACACGAAGGAAGUUCUUGCUACUUCCCCCUCACACCUCCCUGCUUCAUGACCCAGUUUAGGGACUGAUUUUACUUGGCUUAUGCAAUGCUCUGCCUAGUUCCCUGCCCUCACAUCUCUUCCUUCCCUCAAACUGGGAGUUCUUGACCCAAUCCUGUUAUUGCAAGUAUUUAAGGAUCUGUCCUUUAGUAGUUUAGGAAAAUCAGCAUCAAACCAGUUUCAGCUGGUUCUGUUUCUCAAGAUGAGGGAAUGCCCAGAUGACCAGCCAAUUGAAAAUAAGCUGUGAACUCUCGAGCCUUAUCCCCCUGGCACUUUUCCUAUAUUAUCAUGAGCACUCCUAACUCCACCCAGGGCCUCAGCUUCUCCGUCCAUUCCUGAACCUGGGACUAGAGUUCCUCUCUGUUCCAUAUCCAUGGCCUGUCACAAUCUGGACAUGAUUUUCCCUUCCAGUCUUAUGUCUUUUCCCCUCCUUCAUAAAAGCCCUGGCAGUAACCAACUUAACGAGCCAAUGCUCCCCAAUAUCUUCUGCCCCACUACAUACAUAUUUCUUCAUUCUUACUCUCAUAUUUCCCUCUACCUGAAAUAGUACCCAUCCAACCCUUGUCUUCAGAACUCCUAAUCCAUUCAUUCUUCAAGGCUAAUCUUAAAUAUACCCUACCAUACUAUGUUCCAACACUGGUAGAAUAAAGCAAGAAAACCACCCAGUACGGUUAAAGAGUAUGAACUUUCAGUAGUCACACUUUCAUACAAUAAGUAGUCUUAUAGUCACACUUGUCCCUAGCUUUAUCAUCCUUGGUAAAAUGGUGGUAAUAAUAUCAGCCUCACAUGUUAACAAUGACACCAAGCCUGGCACAUUGCAGAUUCUCAAUAAAUGACAGCUAUUGUAAUUAUAAGAGGGUGUGCUCACAAACAACUGUCAGAGAACUUGGAAUGUGACGGGUACCACAGAUUCCAGAAAGAGAAUUCUUCUCAUGGGCUGAAAGCCUUCUUGAAGGGAAAACAUUUAAACUCAGCCUUGAGAGAUGGAAACUGAGACUAGAAGAGGUUGGGUAUCUUCCCUUAAAUUACUCAGGUCAUUAUCCAGACUGUGCUGGUUAGCUGCCUAGAUUGAGUUACUUUUCAUUGAAUAUUUAUCAUGUUCUGCCGCCAUGCUUAGCAUCACUAUACACAAAUAAUCUCAUUUCAUCUCUUUUUAAAAGACCCUAAGAAUUAGGUUUUGUUAUUCCUCGAUUUACUUGUGAACAAAGGGAGUUAUCUGCCUCAGGUCAUGCAGCAACUAAGUAGCACCAGGAUUUGAUCAAGAGAUUGAUUCUAAAGGCUGUGAAUGAUCCACUACAUUCAAAGGAACAAGCUUCAUGUGGCUAAUUAAACAAGAGAUUUUAUGUAUCCCAUUUCCAUACACAUUCCAAAGAGGCUUCUAUUUCACAGCCUCCACAAACAAUAGCAGCGUACUAUGAAUAUUGUGCAAAUGUGUUUUUAAUAAACUGCCUCAAAAUUAGCUGUAUGCCUUAAGCUUUUGUAUUCUCAGGAGACCUUAUUAGAUAAAGAUAAGAUAUUUUAGAAAAUCCCCCAUCCCUAACUACUUGAAGACACAUUAAUCAUUUAAAAUCCCCCCCAAAACUGUGGGCAAAAUGUCAUAUUGUUGACUCUAGCUUAAUGAAUAUAAAUGUUGCCCCUUACCUUAUGAAAUAUCUUUGGAUGAACUUCCACAAAUACCGAACAUAAGUAGGCCCUGAAAAUACUCUAAACAAAUAGACUCUACCCAGCCCUGCUGGGAGUCCUAUGUGGUUAUAAUUCUACCCUUUCCUUUGCUCCUGCUUUCUCUUUGUAAAGUUAUUUGAAAGUGUA
This is a non-coding RNA of Microcebus murinus (gray mouse lemur), 2076 nucleotides long. The record is from RefSeq and is a predicted model, not a curated record. NCBI's taxonomy places the organism in Eukaryota, Metazoa, Chordata, Mammalia, Primates, Cheirogaleidae.